UAAAAUGGAUCUUCCAUAUUAAACCCGUUUAUCUUCUUAGCCAUUGUAGCCUUCGAUUUUUCUCCUCUACCAUUAGCUUCAACUAAAGCUUUUUCUUUUUCUUCUUCUUCUUCUUCUUUUUCUUCUUCCUCAAUCUUCUUUAUCUUGUAUAGUUCAUCUUUAAAUUAGAGUGUAUUAUCAAUUUUGAAACCUUUCUCUGAUUUUUUGCCUAAAAUUGAAAAUGUAUGGUUCUUGUCUAAUGCGUAAUUUUAAGCAUAUUUGUCUCUGUGGUAAAGAAGUUGUGCUUGUAAUUUCAGGGAGCAUCGAUAGUCCUGGUCGUCAUUUUUAUGGGUGUAGAUUGUACGAGGUAAGGUUAGUCAUAAAAAUCUGGUUUAAUUAACUUUUUUGAGUUUUUACACUGAAAUCUUCUUAUUUCAAAAAGGAUCGUGGUACGAGGCGUAAAGUUUUUGUAUGGUUUGAUCCUCCUACUCAGGAGAACUUAAAAGGUGUUAUCCUGGGCUGCUUAAAAAGAAAAAGGCGUUGGAAGCAUUCAUGAAGGCAAGUAAAAAUCAAAGAAAUUGAAGGUGAUUGAUAAUUUUGGGGUUAAUCGUAAAUUAUAUUCAAAGUGAUUAUGUUUGGAAACAAAGACUAUUUCAUAAUGUAAAAACCUGUAAAAUGGUCUAUGAACCACCGAUCUUAGUUUUUAGAUCGUUUUCACCCUUGUUGCAAGUGUAACCCUUUUGCUGCUUAUUGAAGUAUAAUAUCUUAUGUUAAUUAAAGAAGUUUAUUCUGUCAUAACUUUG
Molecule: long non-coding RNA, 782 nt
Filed under: Nicotiana benthamiana
Lineage: Eukaryota; Viridiplantae; Streptophyta; Magnoliopsida; Solanales; Solanaceae
Description: long non-coding RNA (NBEN_LNC039970)
Source: RNAcentral